Molecule: ribosomal RNA, 1415 nt
Filed under: uncultured bacterium
Lineage: Bacteria
Description: 16S ribosomal RNA
Rfam family: Bacterial small subunit ribosomal RNA
Source: RNAcentral
AGUCGGGCGGGAUCACGGCGCUUGCGCCGUGUGAGAGCGGCGGACUGGUGAGUAACACGUGGGCGACACACCCCCCGGACGGGGAUAGCCGGUAGAAAUACCGGGUAAUACCGGAUACGGCCGUACGUAUUGGAAGCGUACGGGGAAAGGAGCCUCGGCUCCGCCGGGGGAGUGGCCCGCGGCCCAUCAGCUAGCUGGCGGUGUAAUGGACCACCAGGGCUAUGACGGGUAUCCGGCCUGAGAGGGUGGACGGACACAUUGGGACUGAGAUACGGCCCAGACUCCUACGGGAGGCAGCAGCUAAGAAUAUUCCGCAAUGGGGGGAACCCUGACGGAGCGACGCCGCGUGGACGAUGGAGGCCGGAAGGUUGUAAAGUCCUUUUAUACGUGAAGAAUAAGCGGGGGAGGGAAUGCUCCCGCGGUGACCGUAGCGUAUGAAUAAGCGCCGGCUAAUUACGUGCCAGCAGCCGCGGUAACACGUAAGGCGCGAGCGUUGUUCGGAAUCAUUGGGCGUAAAGGGCAUGUAGGCGGCCCGGUAAGUCGGGAGUGAAAGGCGGGGGCUCAACCCCCGGACUGCUCCCGAUACUGUCGGGCUUGAGUCGCCGUGGCGCGGCCGGAAUUCCAGGUGUAGGGGUGAAAUCUGUAGAUAUCUGAAAGAACACCGGUGGCGAAGGCGGGCCGGCGAGCGGACGACUGACGCUGAGGUGCGAAGGUGCGGGGAGCGAACAGGAUUAGAUACCCCUGGUAGUCCGCACAGUAAACGAUGCGCGCUGGGCGUCCGGGCAUGAGUCCGGGUGCCGAAGCAAACGCGGUAAGCGCGCCGCCUGGGGAGUAUGCCCGCAAGGGUGAAACUCAAAGGAAUUGACGGGGGCCCGCACAAGCGGUGGAGCAUGUGGUUUAAUUCGAUGGUACGCGAGGAACCUUACCUGGGUUUGACAUAUCAGGGGGACUAUGCGGAGACGCAUAGGCGCGGCAACGCGCCCCUGAACAGGUGCUGCAUGGCCGUCGUCAGCUCGUGCCGUGAGGUGUUGGGUUAAGUCCCGCAACGAGCGCAACCCCCGCCGCCAGUUGCCAGCAGGUGAAGCUGGGGACUCUGGCGGGACCGCCGGCGACAAGCCGGAGGAAGGUGGGGACGACGUCAAGUCAUCAUGGCCCUUAUGUCCAGGGCUACACACGUGCUACAAUGGCGGGCACAGAGCGCAGCGAGGCCGCGAGGCGGAGCGAAGCGCAGAAAGCCCGUCCCAGUCCGGAUCGGAGUCUGAAACCCGACUCCGUGAAGUUGGAAUCGCUAGUAAUCGCGCAUCAGCACGGCGCGGUGAAUACGUUCCCGGGCCUUGUACACACCGCCCGUCACACCAUCCGAGUUGGGGACACCCGAAGUCGGCAGGCUAACCGCGAGGGGGCCGCUGCCGAAG